This 432-nucleotide ribosomal RNA is filed under the name uncultured bacterium. Its description in RNAcentral is "partial 16S ribosomal RNA". It matches the Rfam family "Bacterial small subunit ribosomal RNA", at positions 29 to 507 of the family's 1533-position model. The record is from RNAcentral.
AACGAACGCUGGCGGCAUGCCUAACACAUGCAAGUCGAACGAGACCUUCGGGUCUAGUGGCGCACGGGUGCGUAACGCGUGGGAACCUGCCCUUAGGUUCGGAAUAACUCCCCGAAAGGGUGCUAAUACCGGAUAAUGUCUUCGGACCAAAGAUUUAUAGCCUUUGGAUGGGCCCGCGUUGGAUUAGCUAGUUGGUAGGGUAAAAGCCUACCAAGGCGACGAUCCAUAGCUGGUCUGAGAGGAUGAUCAGCCACACUGGGACUGAGACACGGCCCAGACUCCUACGGGAGGCAGCAGUGGGGAAUAUUGGACAAUGGGCGAAAGCCUGAUCCAGCAAUGCCGCGUGAGUGAUGAAGGCCUUAGGGUUGUAAAGCUCUUUUACCCGGGAUGAUAAUGACAGUACCGGGAGAAUAAGCUCCGGCUAACUCCGUG